CGAUUUUUUGUUCUUUUUAGUUCAUAUAGUUUUUAAAUUAUAUAAAUGGUGUGUAAUUUCGGCAGCUAUUGACGCCACCGGUGACUUUCUUUUUGACUUUGCAUCAACAUGCUAUUUAUAAAGACUACCACAACUCUCAUAUUUCAACAUCCAAAAUUACAUUCUUGCAUUUUACUAUUUUGCUUGUCAAACUCUCAACUCAUGGAGCACGGUAACAUCACCUAUUUGAAGGACUUGGAUUUGGCUCGUCGUGUUUACAUUGUGAAGGUUCGUAUACUCCGGUUAUGGAAGCAACCCAUGUAUAACAAUCCAAAAUAGUUUUACUCGAUCGAAAUGAUUGUGGUUGACGAACAGGGAACAAAGAUGCAAGCCAAUGUUAUCCGAAGAUGGUUUCCCAAGUUUGAGCAUCUUUUAAAUGAAUUAGGUAACAUGUU
Molecule: long non-coding RNA, 434 nt
Organism: Helianthus annuus (common sunflower)
Lineage: Eukaryota; Viridiplantae; Streptophyta; Magnoliopsida; Asterales; Asteraceae
Exons: 4
Source: RefSeq, a predicted model, not a curated record